GAAGGUGUAUCUAGAAAGACAAAUUAGAGCUUGAAAAGUAAAGCAUUUCAUUUACAUUGAAAAGUAUAUUGUGUGAUUCAAUUUAAUUUGAGAUAAUAAAAAUUUAUUAAUUUUUUUUGUUUAAAAAUUUAUUUAAUAAAAUUAAUUUUAAAUUUAGUUUUUUUUGUAUAAUAUAUAGAUCAAAUAAUUUAUAUAAUAGUUAAUUAGUAUUGUAAAAGAAUAUUGAAAUAGAUGAAAAAGUUUUAAAUUAAAAGUAAAUUUUAUAUAUUGUACCUUGUGUAUCAGGGUUUAUUAAUUAAAAGUUAAAUAUUUAAUUUUUCUCGAAUUUAAGAGAGUUAAUUUAUUAUUUAAUUUUUUGUUUCAUAAAAAUUUAAAAUAAUAAAUUAGAAAUGAAAUGUUAUUCGUUCUUAAAUAUAUCUAGUUUUUUGAGAAAUAAAUUAAAUUUAGAUUAUUAAUAGAUAAUUAUUUAUUUAAAUAAUAAAUUAUUAUUAAUAAUUAAUAUUUUAAGGGAUAAGCUUUAAAAUAAGUUUUAUAAUAAUUUUUUAAUUUAAAAAUUAUAGAUUUAGAAAUAGUCAUUAAUUAUAAAAAUGUUAUAAUUUAUUUUAAAUUAAAAAUAAUUUUUAUUAGUUUAAGUUUUUUAUUAAAAUAAUUUUUAAAAUUAUAUAAGAAUUAAAAUAAUGAUAAAAUUAGUAUAUUUUAAUUAUCUAAAGUAAAUAAAUUGAAAGGUUAAAUUAAGGAACUUGGCAAAUGAAUACUCGCCUGUUUAACAAAAACAUGUCUUUUUGAAUAUAAUUUAAAGUCUAAUCUGCCCACUGAAAAAUUUUAAAGGGCCGCGGUAUU
Molecule: ribosomal RNA, 840 nt
Filed under: Panorpodes paradoxus
Lineage: Eukaryota; Metazoa; Arthropoda; Insecta; Mecoptera; Panorpodidae
Description: partial 16S rRNA
Source: RNAcentral